UUGGAGCUACCCACUUCCAUUCAACUAACCAAUAGUCUCUCGAUCAACAUUGAAAUAAAUAACAGCACGCGAAUUGAAGAAAAAUCUCAACUUGAAACAAGAUCAAGAAAGCUUGUCUUAACAACAUAUCACAAAAACUACCAAAACAAAGAUAGAAAGAGAGAGUUGUGACCUCGUCAUAAGGAGGACGAUCAGCUAAACCAGGGGGAGGAGGGUGAUGAUGAUGUACAGGAGGGGGAUGUGGUGGAGGAGCUGAUGAUACUGCCGACGGAGGAGGCGGAGCUCCUGUAGGCGG
RNAcentral lists this long non-coding RNA (295 nucleotides) under Brassica rapa (field mustard). RNAcentral describes it as "long non-coding RNA (BRAP_LNC000612)". Lineage: Eukaryota; Viridiplantae; Streptophyta; Magnoliopsida; Brassicales; Brassicaceae. The record is from RNAcentral.